GCCCAAGGCAAUAAUCAUUUCACAGAAAAUGCACCGCCCCGAGUGUCUUAUUGCUGUGAUGAAAUGGAAAUUUAAAUAAAAGGUCGAACACGUGCGUUCACUGGGAAGUAUUGACAUGGGUGUUACAUCACCACCAGCCAAUCAGAUAACUCCAGUCGUGUUUAUACUUCUACAACCACCUUGUCUUCCUGAUAUAUAUAAAGAAAUAUUAAGGUCUUCCUCUAAACCUUAAGGGAGAUGGAAUCAAAAUCAAAGUUCAAGAGGAUAGUAAUCACAAACGUCUCAAAACAGCUCUAAGUAAGAAUAUUGAACUAAUGUUUCCAUCGAAUUUACAUUAAAAACAAUAAUCAUAUACAUACAAUGGAAUAUUAUUCUGUCCUUAAAAAGGAGGGAAAUCUUGCCAUUUGUAACAAUAUGGUUGAAACUGGAGGACAUUAUGAAAUGAAGGUGAAGCUCUUCCGAACAUUCGUGAUCAACCAACAUAAAAUUCAUCUUGAACUUUGAUAUAUUACUCUUGCAACAAGACCCAUAAAGAAUGGCUAUGCCACUAUACCUCUGUUCUCAAAAGGAGUUGACCAGACAGUGUAGGUGGAGAAGGAAAAACUCAGAAGCACUUUUGGAUAAACUGCUCAAAGUAGUUGCACUACUUACAAUGGCUCAGCAGAGUCUUCUGCAUGAACAAAGACAGUGAACGUGAGUGAGGUAUGAAACAUAAUGCAGAUAAUGCACAAGUUAUGUCCUUCAAGGCCAUGAAUGAUUGUGGCCAACCUUGGAAAAGAAGUCAGGCAUCCCAUGAGUAGAAUUAAAAAAAAAAAAAUGAAGUCAACUCCUGAGCCACACAGAGAAUACCUGUAUACACACUCUUCUGAGCUUCUGCAACCACAGAAAACCACGGGGGAGAUCAUGUGAACAGAGAGCCUCUCUUCCUAGCCUCUGGCAGCAUUAUCUCAUGUGAUCCUUCUACAAUCAUGUAAGCCAUUCUGAUGGGUGUGAGGUGACACCUCCUUAUAGUUUAGAUUUGCAUCUUCCUGAUGAAGACAAGCAUGCAUCCAGUUUCUCCAAAACUUGUCAUCAGUCAAUACACAACUGGCUUAAAAAAUAA
This is a long non-coding RNA of Herpailurus yagouaroundi (jaguarundi), 1102 nucleotides long. RefSeq lists it as uncharacterized. The record is from RefSeq and is a predicted model, not a curated record. NCBI's taxonomy places the organism in Eukaryota, Metazoa, Chordata, Mammalia, Carnivora, Felidae. The transcript is spliced from 8 exons.